This is an RNA transcript of Mandrillus leucophaeus (drill), 1374 nucleotides long. It is a transcript of the gene named cofilin-1 pseudogene, with no coding region annotated. Lineage: Eukaryota; Metazoa; Chordata; Mammalia; Primates; Cercopithecidae. The record is from RefSeq and is a predicted model, not a curated record. The transcript has a single exon.
UUUAAUGUAGGUGUUUAUUGCUAUAAUCUUCCCUCUUAGAACUGCUUUUGUUGAAUCCCAUAAUUUUGGGGAUAUUUUGUUUCUAUUUAGCUCUUCUCAAGAUAUUUUUGUAUUUCCAUUUUGAUUUCUUCUUUGACGCAUUGGUUGUUCAGGAGCACAUUGUUUAAUUUACACAUAGUUGUGAAUUUUCCAAAUUUACUCCUAUUUGUUGAUUUCUAGUUUCAUGCCAUUUUGUCCAGAAAAUAUACUUGAUUUGAUUCAAAUCUUCUUAAAGAUGUUAAGACUUGGUUCAGUUGGGUCCUAGCAGCGGUGUCUUCUGAGGCUCUCCGUGCCCUCUCCUUUUCACUUCCUGAAACAUGGCCUCAGUGGUGGCUGGUCUCUGAUGGUGUCAUCAAGGUGUUCAAUGACAUGAAAGUGCGUAAGUCUUCAAUGCCAGAGGAGGCGAUGAAGCACAAGAAGGCGGUGUUCUUCUGCCUGAGUGAGGAUAAGAAGAACAUCAUCCUGGAGAAGGGCAAGGAGAUCCUGGUGGGCGAUGUGGGCCAGACUGUCGACAACCCCUACGCCACCUUUGUCAGGAUGCUGCCAGAUAAGAACUGCCGCUACGCCCUCUAUGAUGCAACCUACAAGACCAAGGAGAGCAAGGAGGAGGACCUGGUGUUUAUCUUCUGGGCCCCUGAGUCUGUGCCCCUUAAGAGCAAAAUAAUCUAUGCUAGCUCCAAGGAUGCCAUCAAGAAGAAGCUGACAGGGAUCAAGCAUGAAUUACAAGCAAACUGCUAUGAGGAGGUCAAGGACCGCUGCACCCUGGCAGAGAAGCUGGGGGGCAGUGCCGUCAUCUCCCUGGAGGGCAAGCCUUUGUGAGCCCCUUCUGGCCCCCUACCUGGAGCAUCUGGCAGCCCCACACUUCCCCUCGGGGGUUGCAGGCUGCCCGCUUCCUGCCAGACUGGAGGGACUGGGGGGAUACCAGCAGAGGGAGGGCAAUCCCUUCACCCCAGUUUCCAAACAGAUCCCACACCCCCUGGAUUUCCCUCCUCCUUCCUUCCCUGACGGUUCUGGCCUUCCCAAACUGCUUUUGAUCUUCUGAUUCCUCUUUGGUUGAAGCAGACCAAGUUUUCCCCAGGAACUCCAGUUGUGGAGUGAGCUGUAUUUUUUUUUAAACAACAUCCCCACUCCCUACCUGUUCCUCUCCCUUCACAUGCUGCCAACUUCUAACCGCAAUAGUGACUCUGUGCUUGUCUGUUUAGUUCUGUGCAUAAAUAGAAUGUUGUGGAGAUGACCCCUCCCUGUGCCGGCUGGUUUCUCUCACUUUUCCCCUGGUCAUUGCUAGUCAUGGAAGCAGGGCCAGUAAGGGACCUUCGAUUAAAAAAAAAAAAAGAC